UAAUGCAGCAGCAGCAGCACAGUUUCAGACAGUCUUGUGAGGUGAUUUUGAAAGACGGGUACUAUAUUUCCUGUAGAGCUACCAGCUGAAAGUGGCCGACAACCACUCUGUCAAUCAAUCUAUCAAUAUUCUGAUUAAAAAAAUAUGACUCUUGCAAUAUAUUUUCACCUUAAGUUCAGGGAAAACACAGUACUUUAAGAAGGGUUAAGAGGGUUCUUAAAACAGACAAUAUACUCUUUAUGAAAUGCAACCGUGCCGACUAAGAGAAUGUAACCGUACACACACACACGCUCCCUCACACACACUCACACUCACACACACACACACACACACACACACACACACACACACACACACACACACGCUCCCUCACACACACUCACACACACACACACACACACACACACACACACACACACACACACACACACACACACACACACACACACACACACACACACACACACACACACACACAC
Molecule: long non-coding RNA, 479 nt
Organism: Gadus macrocephalus (Pacific cod)
Lineage: Eukaryota; Metazoa; Chordata; Actinopteri; Gadiformes; Gadidae
Exons: 2
Source: RefSeq, a predicted model, not a curated record